GUAAAAAUAACAAAAUUAAACAACAAAAAAAGUCUUGUUACAAUUAAUAUUAAAACUGAUUUUAUUUAUACAGCAAUUCCCAUUUCCCUUCUAGUGCGCCCAUGGGCUGCCUAAGGAAUAUUAAGCAGAGUCAGAUUAAAAGAGAAAUAUGGAAACACCAUUUCCAUAAUCACCGAUGAUCAGUAAACUUCAAAAACUGAACCUGAGCAGUUAAAUUUCACUUAGAACAUAUUAACAUCUACUGAGACAAAAAAACCCCCAAAACCCUCAAAACAAAAAACAACUGUUGUAUUGUGCUGUUAAUUUUGCUUCCCAUGGUGUUACACUAAUGGUUUGUUCACCUCUUCCCUCUGCUUCUGUUGUUUACCCAAGUUGUCCCCUCCUACCCCAGUUGUCAAUCCACCCUGGCACCUUCCCCUUGUUCCUGAAUGUUCCCUGUUCCUCCCCUCUGGGCUCUGUCUGUCACUCUGCUACUCCUCCCAGCUUCUAGAAAGUUCAGGGAAGGUAGUUGAGCGAUAGGGCAGAGACAGAGGCAGUCCCACCCCAAACCAUCCUCAUUGGGUCUCCAUGAUGUCCUUCUGACCUUAUCCUGCUCCUCCCUUGUUUCCCAUUGGUUUGCAAUCUGUCCCCUCCCCUGGUUCCUCCCCCGGAUUUCAAUUGGUGUUGUUGCUGCUUCAGGGAUUUUCCUGGAGCAGGACUCAUGGGGUUGGAGGUCCCUGUGGGGACUCAGUAAACCUUGGGUUUUGCCCUUCAAGAGAGCCUGACUCCUGCCUCCUCCGUAGUUGCUGCAGGCUCUUCCAUCAAGCUGCUCCUCUGAUUACCAAGAUUCGAAGGGGUGUCCUCCUGCAGUUAAGAGAGCAAGGAUCUGGCAUGAAUCAGAAGCAUUCAAAAGUGAGGGACUCACGGGCUGAGAGAAUCAGAAAAGAGCUUCCAUCCAGAUAACAAAGAAAGCUUACUGAAGACAUGUGGCUGGAUCAUGCUAAAUAAUAACUAGUGACAACUGGGAAGAAUGUAGGAAAGUCUUCUGCAGAUCAUCUAUCCUGUGGAUCAACAUACACUAGAAAUACAACAGUGCCAAACAACCACUUGUGUGCCCCAUUGUCAUUGCUAGACUCAAAGAGGGAUCCAAAACACAGUUCAAAACCAAAAUUAAUCUUCCCUUCCAUGAAAUUCUGUGAAUCUCUUUCCUCUCAGCACAAUUCAUUUCUCAAACAUAUGAAAGCUCUCUAAUAACUAAACAUUUUGUGUUAUUUUUGGACGAUGUAACCUAGGAUGAAACCUAUGCUUGUUUUGACAGAUGCAACAGGUGUUCAUUAAGAAUUUCCAAUCUAAAUGAAUGGUACAGCAGAGGAUGGAGAAACUGGUUCAGUGAUAUUUUAAGUGUCAUAUAAUGAAAAGGAACACAAUACUUGCUUUUUCUUUUUUUUUUCCUGAUAAAUUGCUCCAGAGUUACCACUGUCUUAUUAUUCUCUUCAAUUUUUAGGAGAAAUUUUCAGAGGUAAAACUACAUGAUGUAUGUGGGCUUCACUGUCAAACAAAUGCAAGAACUUUGCCAUUGUGAAUAGAUACUUGAAUUAGUUAAAACAGUGAUUCAUGUAUUUUAGGUAUAGCCAUACAUAUAUAUUAUAAUAGUGUAGGAGGUACUCUUGCACACAGAAGAUCUUACAAUGGCAGCACUGAUUUGAAUUUGCCUGUGUUAUUGGACAACAGCAAGUCAAACUUUUGAACAUUUUUUUGGACAGUCUUUUAAUCUCUUUCAGUUAUACCAAGGCUGACUUGCUAAAAUCCUUUCUGAAAUCUGAAAUUUUUUUGGUGGUGAGAACAUUCAGUCUGAUCUUUGCUUUGCUGCAAUAUAUUUCUAACCUUAUUUUGUUUAAAAUGGUAUCUAUAGCUAUCAGCUAAGAGGCAUUUACCAAUUACUGAAUUCCACUGCUUCUUUGGUAAUAAGGGAAAACAAUAAUAGCAUAAUCUGCUGAAAAAUAGUAAUCUCACAAAAAAUGGCCAUGGCUACUAACUUCUAGUAUGAGUAGAGAGAAGCAUCUGUAUUCCCUAAACCACGAUUUUAUUUGAGACUGAACUAUAUUUAUCUAAACAAAUCACUGUCAACUGUGCAGAAUACCCCCUAAAUUAACAGUCACUUUUCUAUUCACCUCUAUUGCACAACCAAAUACUAACCAUGAUGCCAAACCAAAUUCCUUUCUGUCUCAUUUGUAUGGAGAGCUUCUCCUCUGAUGACAGCAAAAUUUGAAGUCUCUAGCAUAUUAUGCCUGCUCUACGCUUCGCUGAACCUUGCUAAAAACCCUUCUGUCUUUUCAGAAAACUGCAGGGCCGCAUUUCUUGUUUCCCUUAUAAUCUCUGUCACAGAAAAAAACCCACCUAAUCACAGUCCAUAACCACAGCUCACUUCAAUUAUAUCAGUGAUGGUAACACCCUGCAUUUUCAGAUGAGAAACUAUCUAGUAAUUUCAGAUGCUCUGCCAAGAGCACAUGGUGCACUUGAUGGCAUAUAAAUGGAUGAUCAGGAACAAGGAAUAGCAACAGAACGUGUGAGACUGAUAAAAGCUGUAUCACAAGGCAUAUAAAUUUAGCAGGGGAAAAAAAAUAAAGCAAGAAAAUAAAAAAGUACUACA
Molecule: long non-coding RNA, 2629 nt
Filed under: Parus major (Great Tit)
Lineage: Eukaryota; Metazoa; Chordata; Aves; Passeriformes; Paridae
Description: lncRNA (ENSPMJG00000016890.1)
Source: RNAcentral